RNAcentral lists this ribosomal RNA (253 nucleotides) under uncultured bacterium. Its description in RNAcentral is "partial 16S ribosomal RNA". It matches the Rfam family "Bacterial small subunit ribosomal RNA", at positions 524 to 776 of the family's 1533-position model. The record is from RNAcentral.
UACGUAGGGGGCUAGCGUUGUUCGGAAUUACUGGGCGUAAAGCGCGUGUAGGCGGCUCGGCAAGUCGGGUGUGAAAGCCCUGGGCUUAACCUAGGAAGUGCACUCGAAACUGCCAAGCUUGAGUUCUGGAGAGGAAGGCGGAAUUCUCGGUGUAGAGGUGAAAUUCGUAGAUAUCGAGAGGAACACCGGUGGCGAAGGCGGCCUUCUGGACAGCAACUGACGCUGAGACGCGAAAGCGUGGGGAGCAAACAGG